Molecule: ribosomal RNA, 497 nt
Filed under: uncultured bacterium
Lineage: Bacteria
Description: partial 16S ribosomal RNA
Rfam family: Bacterial small subunit ribosomal RNA
Source: RNAcentral
GAUGAACGCUGGCGGCGUGCCUAAUACAUGCCAGUCGAGCGAACAGACGAGGAGCUUGCUCCUCUGACGUUAGCGGCGGACGGGUGAGUAACACGUGGAUAACCUACCUAUAAGACUGGGAUAACUUCGGGAAACCGGAGCUAAUACCGGAUAAUAUAUUGAACCGCAUGGUUCAAUAGUGAAAGACGGUUUUGCUGUCACUUAUAGAUGGAUCCGCGCCGCAUUAGCUAGUUGGUAAGGUAACGGCUUACCAAGGCGACGAUGCGUAGCCGACCUGAGAGGGUGAUCGGCCACACUGGAACUGAGACACGGUCCAGACUCCUACGGGAGGCAGCAGUAGGGAAUCUUCCGCAAUGGGCGAAAGCUUGACGGAGCACCGCCGCGUGAGUGAUGAAGGUCUUCGGAUCGUAAAACUCUGUUAUUAGGGAAGAACAAAUGUGUAAGUAACUAUGCACGUCUUGACGGUACCUAAUCAGAAAGCCACGGCUAACUACGUG